AUGACGACUACUACGACGACCUGGGCCCGGAGGAGCUCCGCCUGCUGGGGCGUCGAAUGUCCUGCGACGGCGCCCACCGUUGCCAGCAACCUUCACCAUGGCCGGCCUGGUGUUGAGCUGCGUGGGCGUCCUCGGAGUCACGUCCGGCGCCUUCGUCGUCAGCUGGGUCGGCUAGGCCGUGUUGAUCGCCAGCGCUGUCACUCUGGCAAGAAGCAGCCGCCGACGCCUCCUCGUCGUGCUCUUCAUGCCCAGGCAAAAGCAGGAGCAACCAUCGCCGGGCCAAGAGAUGGCAGCACUAGUUGGAAAGGAAAGAGCAGAAAUGGGAGCAGCUGGAAUGGAAGACGGACGCACAGCGCAGCCGGUAUUUAUAGCAAGCAGCAGAGAGGCAAAGCACAAAUUGAAAGCAAAUACCGCACAUGCUGCAGAAACACCGAGAAGACUGUAAAAAAGCGGCAGCCGACAGUGUAG
This 468-nucleotide ribosomal RNA is filed under the name Triticum aestivum (bread wheat). RNAcentral describes it as "partial small subunit ribosomal RNA". Lineage: Eukaryota; Viridiplantae; Streptophyta; Magnoliopsida; Poales; Poaceae. The record is from RNAcentral.